RNAcentral lists this ribosomal RNA (468 nucleotides) under uncultured bacterium. Its description in RNAcentral is "partial 16S ribosomal RNA". It matches the Rfam family "Bacterial small subunit ribosomal RNA", at positions 28 to 507 of the family's 1533-position model. The record is from RNAcentral.
GACGAACGCUGGCGGCGUGCUUAACACAUGCAAGUCGAACGGAAAGGCCCUGCUUUUGUGGGGUGCUCGAGUGGCGAACGGGUGAGUAACACGUGAGUAACCUGCCCUUGACUUUGGGAUAACUUCAGGAAACUGGGGCUAAUACCGGAUAGGAGCUCCUGCUGCAUGGUGGGGGUUGGAAAGUUUCGGCGGUUGGGGAUGGACUCGCGGCUUAUCAGCUUGUUGGUGGGGUAGUGGCUUACCAAGGCUUUGACGGGUAGCCGGCCUGCGAGGGUGACCGGCCACAUUGGGACUGAGAUACGGCCCAGACUCCUACGGGAGGCAGCAGUGGGGAAUAGUGCACAAUGGGCGGAAGCCUGAUGUAGCAACGCCGCGUGCGGGAUGACGGCAUGCGGGUUGUGAACCGCUUUCGCCUGUGACGAAGCGUGAGUGACGGUAAUGGGUAAAGAAGCACCGGCUAACUACGUG